CACGCCGUAAACGAUGAGUGCUAGGUGUUAGGCCCUUUCCGGGGCUUAGUGCCGCAGCUAACGCAUUAAGCACUCCGCCUGGGGAGUACGACCGCAAGGUUGAAACUCAAAGGAAUUGACGGGGGCCCGCACAAGCGGUGGAGCAUGUGGUUUAAUUCGAAGCAACGCGAAGAACCUUACCAGGUCUUGACAUCCCGAUGCUAUUCCUAGAGAUAGGAAGUUUCUUCGGAACAUCGGUGACAGGUGG
RNAcentral lists this ribosomal RNA (247 nucleotides) under uncultured Streptococcus sp. Its description in RNAcentral is "partial 16S ribosomal RNA". It matches the Rfam family "Bacterial small subunit ribosomal RNA", at positions 796 to 1041 of the family's 1533-position model. Lineage: Bacteria; Bacillati; Bacillota; Bacilli; Lactobacillales; Streptococcaceae. The record is from RNAcentral.